Molecule: ribosomal RNA, 512 nt
Filed under: uncultured bacterium
Lineage: Bacteria
Description: partial 16S ribosomal RNA
Rfam family: Bacterial small subunit ribosomal RNA
Source: RNAcentral
GAUGAACGCUGGCGGCGUGCCUAAUACAUGCAAGUCGAACGAAACUUCUUUAUCACCGAGUGCUUGCACUCACCGAUAAAGAGUUGAGUGGCGAACGGGUGAGUAACACGUGGGCAACCUGCCCCAAAGAGGGGGAUAACACUUGGAAACAGGUUCUAAUACCGCAUAACCAUAGUUACCGCAUGGUAACUAUGUAAAAGGUGGCUAUACUACCGCUUUUGCAUGGGCUCGCGGCGCAUUAGCUAGUUGGUAGGGUAAAGGCUUACCAAGGCAAUGAUGCGUAGCCGAAUUGAGAGGGUGAUCGGCCACACUGGGACUGAGACACGGCCCAGACUCCUACGGGAGGCAGCAGUAGGGAAUCUUCCGCAAUGGGCGAAAGCCUGAUGGAGCAACGCCGCGUGAGUGAAGAAGGUCUUCGGAUCGUAAAACCCUGUUGUUAGAGAAGAAAGUGCGUGAGAGUAACUGUUCACGUUUCGACGGUAUCUAACCGGAAAGCCACGGCUAACUACGUG